GCGGAUGUGGUGGAAUUGGUAGACACGCACGUUUGAGGGGCGUGUGGCUUCGGCCUUACGAGUUCAAGUCUCGUCAUCCGCA
RNAcentral lists this transfer RNA (82 nucleotides) under Synechococcus sp. RNAcentral's name for it is "tRNA-Leu". It matches the Rfam family "tRNA". Rfam says of the family: Transfer RNA (tRNA) molecules are approximately 80 nucleotides in length. Their secondary structure includes four short double-helical elements and three loops (D, anti-codon, and T loops). Lineage: Bacteria; Bacillati; Cyanobacteriota; Cyanophyceae; Synechococcales; Synechococcaceae. The record is from RNAcentral. RNAcentral also lists the same sequence under 44 other names.